AAAAAGUUUUAUUUAAGCUUAAAAAUUGUAUAAGUUAAAAAUUUAUAUGUAAAUAUUUAUUUAGAUAGUUUUUUUGCAGUAAAUAGUAUUAAAAAUUUUUUAAUAGAAGAUUUAGUUAAGUAUUUUAGUUAUAACAAAUUUUGUGCCAGCAGUUGCGGUUAUACAAUUAUUAGCAAUAUAAUUAUUUUGAUUAUUAUUUAAUUAGGAAUAUUAAAAAUUAGGUUUUUAAUUUUAGGUGAAAUUUUAUUAUUUUAAAGGUUUUUUUUAUAUUAAUGAUUCUAAUAAUUCUAUUAAUAAAACAAGGAUUAGAUACCCUUUUAUAUUAGGUCUAAAGGUUUUUGAUUGAUUAGUAUUAGUUAAUUUCUUGAAAUUCAAUAAUUUUGGCGGUAUUUUAGACUGGUUAGAGGAAUCUGUCCUGUAAUUGAUAAUCCACGAUUAUAGUUACUUUUAUUUGUUUGUAUAUCAUCGUUGUUAAAAAUUUUGAGAAAGUUAAAUUUUUAUAAUUUUAAAUUAAAAAGUAAUUCAGAUCAAGGUGCAGCUUAAAAAAGUAGAGAUGGAUUACAUAUAAACAUAGGAUUAUUAAUUAAAAUAUUAAUUUGAAUUUGGAUUUAAAAGUAAUUUUGAUUUUAUAGUUAAAAUGACUUAGCUCUAAAAUAUGUACAUAUCGCCCGUCGCUUUCAUUAUAAAAUGAAAUAAGUCGUAACAAAGUAGAUUAACUGGAAGGUGAAUCUAGAAAGUC
RNAcentral lists this non-coding RNA (739 nucleotides) under Colasposoma sp. EMHAU-15070314. The record is from RNAcentral. Lineage: Eukaryota; Metazoa; Arthropoda; Insecta; Coleoptera; Chrysomelidae.